This 519-nucleotide ribosomal RNA is filed under the name uncultured eukaryote. RNAcentral describes it as "bacterial SSU rRNA". It matches the Rfam family "Eukaryotic small subunit ribosomal RNA", at positions 1161 to 1714 of the family's 1831-position model. The record is from RNAcentral.
AGGGCACCACCAGGAGUGGAGCCUGCGGCUUAAUUUGACUCAACACGGGAAACCUCACCAGGCCCAGACACUGGAAGGAUUGACAGAUUGAGAGCUCUUUCUUGAUUCAGUGGGUGGUGGUGCAUGGCCGUUCUUAGUUGGUGGAGCGAUUUGUCUGGUUAAUUCCGAUAACGAACGAGACUCUAGCCUACUAAAUAGACGUUACACUUUCCAGUAUCUCGAAGGCUCACAUCUCUUGUUUCUUUACUUCACAUCUACAAGCAUUUCGGUGUUUGUUUGAUGUGUUGGGGGGCAGGAGUUUGUGGCUCUACCCUGAGCGAAAUAGAGAGCUCUUCUUUUUUUCGGGAGAAACGGAUAACCCAAGCAAAUUUUUUCGUGCUUGGGACUGGGAAGUGCAAUUAUUUCCCUUGCACGAGGAUUCCCAGUACAUGUGGGUCAUCAGCUCGAGAUGAUACGAGCUGCCCUUAGUACCCUCCGACCGACGCUCCACCGAUUGUGAUGAAUUGAGAGGUCUUAGAA